RNAcentral lists this long non-coding RNA (295 nucleotides) under Capsicum annuum. Its description in RNAcentral is "long non-coding RNA (CANN_LNC003405)". Lineage: Eukaryota; Viridiplantae; Streptophyta; Magnoliopsida; Solanales; Solanaceae. The record is from RNAcentral.
UCAGAAUUAUGUAGCAUGCAAUCAGCAGAAUCAGCAAAUGAACCGCAAUGUUGGUUAAAAGCUAGUGUAAUAGGAAUUCUAUAUUUAUAACAAGUUUUUAAAAAUUCAUACAUAGAAUUCCAUCUAGUAUCAAUUUCCUCAGGCAUCAAAAUCGGUGUAAGUCCAUUUUCUUGACAUUUAACUUUAAAUUAUCUAAUUCUUGAUCUACGAUUAUUUCCUUGAAUAAAACCAAUGGCAAGACGAAUUUUUUCAAUAUAAAACUCAAAAAACUCAAGACCAUCUUUUACAAUUAAAU